RNAcentral lists this long non-coding RNA (1269 nucleotides) under Equus caballus (horse). Its description in RNAcentral is "lncRNA (ENSECAG00000060266.1)". The record is from RNAcentral. Lineage: Eukaryota; Metazoa; Chordata; Mammalia; Perissodactyla; Equidae.
CCAACUGUAGCUGAGAUCUAUUCAAAGAGAGAGAGGAAAAAGCAAUGAGGAUGUUUUGAAUUUUUCAAAAAGUUGGAGACCUGCUCCCGGGACCAUGCUUCUCACUAUAAAUCUUUCACAGGAUUCUGUCAGCUCCAUUGUCCACGGGUUGAUUACAAAACCCAUCAUUCUAACCGCAUCUUUCCUUGAAGUGAAUCCUCUGGUGAGUGGUGCCUGGGCUGUCCGUCUCCUUUAAAUCAGAGUUCUGGCAUCAGAAAUGGUGUGUCGCUUUUCCUUCCCUUUUAUUUUAUCCAGUCUUGGGCACAGUGUGUCACCUAAUUAGCACAACAAAUGUAAUUUUAUCUGACUUUCCCUCUUUUCAUGGCUCAUUAUUUUUCCUCCAGUGCAGGAAAUUGCUGUCCGCAUCAUUUUUUAUUGUUCCUCUUUCUCAUAGAGAAUUCCCCAUUUGAAAGACAUUUUCUUUAGUUUUCUUCUGUAAAAGCCCUCUCGUGACCUUUUUGCCUACCAACAAAGACCCAUUUCCUGACCAGCAUCAGCAAUCGAUUCCUUUACGAACGAUUUGGUUUAAGGUCAGUGCUGGCCUAUAAUAUAACUACUUAAAUAUAUGUAGCUCUAAAGAAAAGUGGAAAUGGUCUGUAAGAGUGCAAGUAAAAUAUCCCGUCUCAGAGAAAGCAGUUCAUUUUCUGAUGUUUUGAAAGCAGUAGCCAACGAUGUGAUGUUGUUUCUAAAGAAAACUCACAUCAUCCUGGAAGCCCCUGGCCACAUCCCUCAACCAGAAACUUCCUCCAUGUCUCGUGCUGUAUUAUUCAGUUCAGUUCCCAAUACGGAGUUUCAAGAGAGAUGCUAACAAAUUAGAAGAAGGUGUUCAAGAUGUAAGGGGCCUGGAAAAAAACAUCUUGUUGAGUGUAUAAAGAAGAUAGGGUGGGCAUGAUGCUCAUUGUCACAUCUUUGAAAGAGUAUUUUGUUACGAAAGACAGGCUUGUUCUGUUUUCCUGCAGAAACAUAAGUACCCAUGAGUAUAAAUCUAAACAAGGCAAACGAUGGCACGGACACCUCAUCAGUCGGGGUGGCCAGCCAGCCAGGAGUAUGCACAGAGAAGAGAAAAUUUUGAUCUGCCAAUUGAAACUCCUGCCAGAGCUUCUGCAUACCAGCCUACCCUCUCUAAUCCCUUAAACCCUACCCUAUACCCUGGAUCCGGGAGACAGGUUUGAGAGCAUGUCCUCCUAUCUCCUUGCCAAUCGAUUGCAUAAUAAACUUUCUUCCCUUAAA